Molecule: ribosomal RNA, 433 nt
Filed under: uncultured bacterium
Lineage: Bacteria
Description: bacterial SSU rRNA
Rfam family: Bacterial small subunit ribosomal RNA
Source: RNAcentral
AACGCGAAGAACCUUACCUGGACUAGAAUGUGAGGGAAUGUCGGGUAAUGCCGACAGUCCGGGAAACCGGACCCAAAACAAGGUGCUGCAUGGCUGUCGUCAGCUCGUGUCGUGAGAUGUUGGGUUAAGUCCCGCAACGAGCGCAACCCUUAUCAACAGUUGCCAUCAUUAAGUUGGGAACUCUGUUGAGACUGCCGUUGAUAAAACGGAGGAAGGUGGGGAUGAUGUCAAGUCAUCAUGGCCUUUAUGUUCAGGGCUACACACGUGCUACAAUGGCCGGUACAAAACGUCGCAAUCUCGUAAGAGGGAGCUAAUCGCAAAAACCGGUCUCAGUUCGGAUUGAAGUCUGCAACUCGACUUUAUGAAGUUGGAAUCGCUAGUAAUCGCAAAUCAGCAUGUUGCGGUGAAUACGUUCCCGGGUCUGUACACACCG